Molecule: ribosomal RNA, 203 nt
Filed under: uncultured bacterium
Lineage: Bacteria
Description: partial 16S ribosomal RNA
Rfam family: Bacterial small subunit ribosomal RNA
Source: RNAcentral
UACAGAGGUCUCAAGCGUUGUUCGGAUUCAUUGGGCGUAAAGGGUGCGUAGGUGGCGCCGUAAGUCAGGUGUGAAAUUUCGGAGCUUAACUCCGAAACUGCAUUUGAUACUGCGGUGCUUGAGGACUGGAGAGGAGACUGGAAUUCACGGUGUAGCAGUGAAAUGCGUAGAUAUCGUGAGGAAGACCAGUGGCGAAGGCGGGU